Molecule: ribosomal RNA, 413 nt
Filed under: uncultured bacterium
Lineage: Bacteria
Description: bacterial SSU rRNA
Rfam family: Bacterial small subunit ribosomal RNA
Source: RNAcentral
GGAUGAGCCCGCGUAGGAUUAGCUAGUUGGUGUGGUAAAGGCGCACCAAGGCGACGAUCCUUAGCUGGUCUGAGAGGAUGAUCAGCCACACUGGGACUGAGACACGGCCCAGACUCCUACGGGAGGCAGCAGUGGGGAAUAUUGGACAAUGGGCGAAAGCCUGAUCCAGCAAUGCCGCGUGAGUGAUGAAGGCCUUAGGGUUGUAAAGCUCUUUUACCCGGGAUGAUAAUGACAGUACCGGGAGAAUAAGCUCCGGCUAACUCCGUGCCAGCAGCCGCGGUAAUACGGAGGGAGCUAGCGUUAUUCGGAAUUACUGGGCGUAAAGCGCACGUAGGCGGCUUUGUAAGUAAGAGGUGAAAGCCUGGUGCUCAACACCAGAACUGCCUUUUAGACUGCAUCGCUUGAAUCCAGGA